CUGGGUUCCUCCCUGGAAGCAGGUAGGAGAGAGGCUGUUCUCUCCAGUAAGAGAGUCAAGGAGACUUAGCACUGGGAGUGCAAAAGGAAAGCAGUCAAGGCUGGCUUGGAGCACUGGGAGUGCAGAAAGGAAAGCAGUUAAGGCUGGCUUGGGGCUUGGAGCACUGGGAGUGUAGAAAGGAAAGCAACAGGCUGACUAAGCACUGGAGUGCAGAGCGCUGACAAAGAAACUAGGUUGGUGAAACCAAUAUUGUUU
Molecule: non-coding RNA, 255 nt
Organism: Pelobates cultripes (western spadefoot toad)
Lineage: Eukaryota; Metazoa; Chordata; Amphibia; Anura; Pelobatidae
Source: the annotation of a GenBank genome assembly